GAAGGUGGCCUGUGAGGGUUGCUGGAGGUAUCAGAAGUGCGAAUGCUGACAUAAGUAACGAUAAAGCGGGUGAAAAGCCCGCUCGCCGGAAGACCAAGGGUUCCUGUCCAACGUUAAUCGGGGCAGGGUGAGUCGACCCCUAAGGCGAGGCCGAAAGGCGUAGUCGAUGGGAAACGGGUUAAUAUUCCCGUACUUGGUGUUACUGCGAAGGGGGGACGGAGAAGGCUAUGUUGGCCGGGCGACGGUUGUCCCGGUUUAAGCGUGUAGGUGUGUGUUCCAGGUAAAUCCGGUUCACUUUAACACUGAGGCGUGACGACGAGGCACUACGGUGCUGAAGCAACAAAUGCCCUGCUUCCAGGAAAAGCCUCUAAGCAUCAGGUAACAUCAAAUCGUACCCCAAACCGACACAGGUGGUCAGGUAGAGAAUACCAAGGCGCUUGAGAGAACUCGGGUGAAGGAACUAGGCAAAAUGGUGCCGUAACUUCGGGAGAAGGCACGCUGACAUGUAGGUGAAGUGAUUUACUCACGGAGCUGAAGUCAGUCGAAGAUACCAGCUGGCUGCAACUGUUUAUUAAAAACACAGCACUGUGCAAACACGAAAGUGGACGUAUACGGUGUGACGCCUGCCCGGUGCCGGAAGGUUAAUUGAUGGGGUCAGCGCAAGCGAAGCUCCUGAUCGAAGCCCCGGUAAACGGCGGCCGUAACUAUAACGGUCCUAAGGUAGCGAAAUUCCUUGUCGGGUAAGUUCCGACCUGCACGAAUGGCGUAAUGAUGGCCAGGCUGUCUCCACCCGAGACUCAGUGAAAUUGAACUCGCUGUGAAGAUGCAGUGUACCCGCGGCAAGACGGAAAGACCCCGUGAACCUUUACUAUAGCUUGACACUGAACAUUGAGCCUUGAUGUGUAGGAUAGGUGGGAGGCUUUGAAGUGUGGACGCCAGUCUGCAUGGAGCCGACCUUGAAAUACCACCCUUUAAUGUUUGAUGUUCUAACGUGGACCCGUAAUCCGGGUUGCGGACAGUGUCUGGUGGGUAGUUUGACUGGGGCGGUCUCCUCCUAAAGAGUAACGGAGGAGCACGAAGGUUGGCUAAUCCUGGUCGGACAUCAGGAGGUUAGUGCAAUGGCAUAAGCCAGCUUGACUGCGAGCGUGACGGCGCGAGCAGGUGCGAAAGCAGGUCAUAGUGAUCCGGUGGUUCUGAAUGGAAGGGCCAUCGCUCAACGGAUAAAAGGUACUCCGGGGAUAACAGGCUGAUACCGCCCAAGAGUUCAUAUCGACGGCGGUGUUUGGCACCUCGAUGUCGGCUCAUCACAUCCUGGGGCUGAAGUAGGUCCCAAGGGUAUGGCUGUUCGCCAUUUAAAGUGGUACGCGAGCUGGGUUUAGAACGUCGUGAGACAGUUCGGUCCCUAUCUGCCGUGGGCGCUGGAGAACUGAGGGGGGCUGCUCCUAGUACGAGAGGACCGGAGUGGACGCAUCACUGGUGUUCGGGUUGUCAUGCCAAUGGCACUGCCCGGUAGCUAAAUGCGGAAGAGAUAAGUGCUGAAAGCAUCUAAGCACGAAACUUGCCCCGAGAUGAGUUCUCCCUGAGACUUAGAGUCUCCUGAAGGAACGUUGAAGACGACGACGUUGAUAGGCCGGGUGUGUAAGCGCAGCGAUGCGUUGAGCUAACCGGUACUAAUGAACCGUGAGGCUUAACCUU
Molecule: ribosomal RNA, 1695 nt
Filed under: Salmonella enterica
Lineage: Bacteria; Pseudomonadati; Pseudomonadota; Gammaproteobacteria; Enterobacterales; Enterobacteriaceae
Also listed under: 2 other names
Description: partial 23S ribosomal RNA
Rfam family: Bacterial large subunit ribosomal RNA
Source: RNAcentral